Long non-coding RNA from Marmota monax (woodchuck), 1480 nucleotides. RefSeq lists it as uncharacterized. NCBI's taxonomy places the organism in Eukaryota, Metazoa, Chordata, Mammalia, Rodentia, Sciuridae. The transcript has 2 exons. The record is from RefSeq and is a predicted model, not a curated record.
UUUCCCAAUGCGGCCCAGGGCCUGAGGGAGAAAUGUAGGGUCACAGGAAGUCUUGGCAGGGGAGGUCACAACACGGGCAAGGGGACUCACAGGGGCCAUGUCAUCUGUCCACUCGCCAUGCCCAGCCUGCAGUUGCUUCACAGUGUCCAGGUCAUCGAUGACGCGAACCACAUCGCCCACCCAGAAGGAGUUGUGCUGGGUGACAGAGAAGCAGGCAACCACAGGCCCAGCAGGAGGCUAUACCAGCAGGGGGCCUGUGACAGAGAACCUGGCCCAGCACAGAGAAGACUUGGAGCAGGAAAAGACCCAAGUACUGGGAGUUGAUGUUGUGGUCAUUCUGCAGCCAAGCAGCUUGCUGGCCUCUGUGAACCCAGCUUCCCAGCCUGAGCCUGCCUGCCCAGGCCAGCUGCCAUGUCUGCCUGCCAGCUAUCGCCCCACUGGCCACUUGUCGCUGGGCCUUUUACAAGACAUAGGGGGGGUGCCCCAAGCAUGAAUGCAAACAAGGCCUGUGCCCAACCUCUCCCUCAGGAGAAUGGACAGAGGCAGGGAGAUCAAAGUGGAGGGUGUCUGGCAAUGUCUGGAGAAACUUGGGACCACACCUCAGCUGACAACUGCCUAGCAGGAAGGCCACCAGGUAGUUGAGCCUGUGACAGCAUCUGCCUGCCACCACACCUGGUAGUUUUAGAACAGCCAAACAACUCCCCUCAUCCCUAGCCCGCAAACCGCCACAUUCUGGAAGACUAUCACUCAGAUGAGCCCACCAGAGACGGACCGCAGCCGGGCAGGACGUGGGACGGACUUAGUUAAAUAACCAGCACCCACUGACACCCAGGACUGCCUGGACAAGAAGGGAGGACCUGGAGGAGCGCACACAGGGCUUGGUACGCUUGCUUGCCCCCUGGGUGCCAAGGGGUGAGAACAGAGAAGCACCAGUCAUGGUGGCCCCCAGGGCUCCUUCCCUGAAGCAGCCCAUGCCAGAGGUCUUCAGAGGCAGCACCCUCCGUGCUACAUGGCAUCACAGCCCUGGUUAGGGCCCCUGCCUGAGCUGGUCUUCUGAUAAAGCCCCCUUGCCACCCUCUCAUAGUUACCACAGGGACAGACAAGGGACAGGGCUUCUGGGACUCAGAAACACAGGGAUUUGGCACCCUAGGACCCUCUCAGGGAGACCUGACAACUUUCCGUCACCCCUGCCUGGCCUCUGUCACUUUUGUUCCUGGGCCCAGCAUGUCAUUGCUGGUCAUGUCCCCCUGCCUUUGAGCUCCUGUGCCUUGUCUCAGGGCUCACUACUUAUUAUGGUUUUGAUAUAAAGUGUCCCCCCAAAACUCCUGUUAAUGUGGAACCACAGUGGUGCCUCUUCCUCCCUGUCACCCGGGCCUGUCCCCAUGAUGUGCUCUCACCUCAAGCCCAGAGCAAUGGAGUGGGCCAUCUACAGACAGAACCUCUGAAACCAUGAGCCCCAAAUAAACUUUUCCUCCUCUAA